Molecule: ribosomal RNA, 253 nt
Filed under: uncultured bacterium
Lineage: Bacteria
Description: partial 16S ribosomal RNA
Rfam family: Bacterial small subunit ribosomal RNA
Source: RNAcentral
UACAGAGGGUGCAAGCGUUGUUCGGAAUUAUUGGGCGUAAAGCGCGUGUAGGCGGCUAAGUAAGUCGGGCGUGAAAUCCCACGGCUCAACCGUGGAAGUGCACUCGAAACUGCAUAGCUAGAGUCCUGGAGAGGAAGGUGGAAUGCUUGGUGUAGAGGUGAAAUUCGUAGAUAUCAAGCGGAACACCGGUGGCGAAGGCGGCCUUCUGGACAGUGACUGACGCUGAGACGCGAAAGCGUGGGGAGCAAACAGG